AUAAGGGCGCACGGUGGAUGCCUUGGCACUAGGAGCCGAUGAAGGACGGGACUAACACCGAUAUGCUUUGGGGAGCUGUACGUAAGCUAUGAUCCAGAGAUUUCCGAAUGGGGGAACCCAACAUCUUUAAUAGGAUGUUACGAUUGUGUGAAUACAUAGCACAUUCGAGGUAGACGCAGAGAACUGAAACAUCUAAGUACCUGCAGGAAGAGAAAGAAAAUUCGAUUCCCUGAGUAGCGGCGAGCGAAACGGGAAAAGCCCAAACCAGCAAGCUUGCUUGUUGGGGUUGUAGGACUCCAAUAUGGUAGUUCUUUCAGAUAGUCGAAUGACUUGGAAAAGUCAGUCAAAGAGGGUAAAAACCCCGUAGACGAAAUGUGGAAGACACCUAGGAGGAUCCUGAGUACGGCGGAACACGAGAAAUUCCGUCGGAAUCCGGGAGGACCAUCUCCCAAGGCUAAAUACUCCCUAGUGACCGAUAGUGAACCAGUACCGUGAGGGAAAGGUGAAAAGCACCCCGGAAGGGGAGUGAAAUAGAACCUGAAACCGUGUGCCUACAACAAGUCAAAGCCCGUUAAUGGGUGAUGGCGUGCCUUUUGUAGAAUGAACCGGCGAGUUACGAUUGCAUGCGAGGUUAAGUUGAAGAGACGGAGCCGCAGCGAAAGCGAGUCUGAAUAGGGCGUUUGAGUAUGUAGUCGUAGACCCGAAACCAUGUGAUCUACCCAUGUCCAGGUUGAAGGUGCGGUAAAACGCACUGGAGGACCGAACCCACGUACGUUGAAAAGUGCGGGGAUGAGGUGUGGGUAGCGGAGAAAUUCCAAACGAACUUGGAGAUAGCUGGUUCUCUCCGAAAUAGCUUUAGGGCUAGCCUCGGAAUUGAGAAUGAUGGAGGUAGAGCACUGUUUGGACUAGGGGCCCAUCUCGGGUUACCGAAUUCAGAUAAACUCCGAAUGCCAUUCAUUCAUAUCCGGGAGUCAGACUGUGAGUGAUAAGAUCCAUAGUCGAAAGGGAAACAGCCCAGACCACCAGCUAAGGUCCCAAAAUAUAUGUUAAGUGGAAAAGGAUGUGGGGUUGCACAGACAACUAGGAUGUUGGCUUAGAAGCAGCCACCAUUUAAAGAGUGCGUAAUAGCUCACUAGUCGAGUGACCCUGCGCCGAAAAUGUACCGGGGCUAAACAUAUUACCGAAGCUGUGGAGUACACCUUUAGGUGUAUUGGUAGGAGAGCGUUCUAAGGGCGUUGAAGGCAGAUCGUGAGGACUGCUGGAGCGCUUAGAAGUGAGAAUGCCGGUAUGAGUAGCGAAAGACAGGUGAGAAUCCUGUCCACCGAAUGACUAAGGUUUCCUGGGGAAGGCUCGUCCGCCCAGGGUUAGUCGGGACCUAAGCCGAGGCCGACAGGCGUAGGCGAUGGAUAACAGGUUGAUAUUCCUGUACCCGUUGUUUUUGUUUGAGCAAUGGAGGGACGCAGGAGGCUAAGGAAUGCAGACGAUCGGAAAUGUCUGUCCAAGCAGUAAGUCUGAAGAGGAGUCAAAUGCUUCUUUUCUUA
RNAcentral lists this ribosomal RNA (1541 nucleotides) under Enterococcus faecium. Its description in RNAcentral is "partial 23S ribosomal RNA". It matches the Rfam family "Bacterial large subunit ribosomal RNA", at positions 12 to 1553 of the family's 2925-position model. The record is from RNAcentral. Lineage: Bacteria; Bacillati; Bacillota; Bacilli; Lactobacillales; Enterococcaceae.